Molecule: ribosomal RNA, 189 nt
Filed under: uncultured bacterium
Lineage: Bacteria
Description: partial 16S ribosomal RNA
Rfam family: Bacterial small subunit ribosomal RNA
Source: RNAcentral
CCUACGGGAGGCAGCAGUGAGGAAUAUUGGUCAAUGGGCGGAAGCCUGAACCAGCCAUGCCGCGUGCAGGAAUAAGGCCCUAUGGGUCGUAAACUGCUUUUCCUUGAGGGCAAUAAGGGUCACGUGUGGCCCGAUGAGAGUAUCAGGGGAAUAAGCAUCGGCUAACUCCGUGCCAGCAGCCGCGGUAAU